AGACGUAAAUACGAACAAACAUUUCUGCCUCGUUUAGUUCGUUUUUCAAGAAAAAAAGAUAAACAGUUUAUGUUUUCAAACGAAAACAGGUUUCAGAAACAGUAACACACUAAAAUAUGUGUGUAAAAGGGUCAGCAGAAGAAAAAAAAACUUGUGACCUGUUCAGGACAAAAGGGUUACUUGGGAUUCCUCUGGCAAACAGGAAGACGAAGAAAUAAGUAAAAUAUUUUAAAAGAAGAAAUUAAGGAGAGCAAGACCCACAGACUGUGGGAAUGACGGCUGAAGAGAUCAAGAGAAAGAUGGAGAUCAGAGGUGAGCCGCUCCUGUGUUUCUGUAAACACUGCUCUCUCUCAGCACUGGGUUUAUGGAGACAGGACCAGUUAGGAGGAGGUUUGAAAAGGUCUGAAACAGCACAAGGCGCCUCUGGAACUGGCCGUGCAGCGGUACCAUCUCCCUCUAAUGUUGGCAGAGAUGAAUGUGGCUCAGCAGGAGCAGCACCCCUCUGGGUAUUUAGGGUCCACCCUGUUGUGUCCGAUGGGAAUGACAGGGCCAGAAUCCUGGUACCGACACCUGUGAUUAUUUACCGGGCACUGGGUCUCUGUGGUAACCGAGCCGUGAUGGAUUCUGA
Molecule: long non-coding RNA, 628 nt
Organism: Eleginops maclovinus (Patagonian blennie)
Lineage: Eukaryota; Metazoa; Chordata; Actinopteri; Perciformes; Eleginopidae
Exons: 5
Source: RefSeq, a predicted model, not a curated record